GAUGAAGAACGCAGCGAAAUGCGAUACUUGGUGUGAAUUGCAGAAUCCCGUGAACCAUCGAGUCUUUGAACGCAAGUUGCGCCCGAAGCCGUCAGGCCGAGGGCACGCCUGCCUGGGCGUCACACGCCGUUGCCCCCCCGCGCCCCGCACCCAACUCUUUGGGAGCGACCGCGGGGCGGGCUGAUGAUGGCCUCCCGUGCGCUCCGCCGCGCGGUUGGCCCAAAUACCGAGUCCCCGGCGACGUGCGCCACGACGAUCGGUGGUUGAGAGACCUCUGUCGCAAGUCGUGCGCGCCCGUCGCGUCACGCGGGCUCGCAUAGCGCCUCGCGCCGCACCCGGUGCGGAGCUUUCAACGCGACCCCAGGUCAGGUGGGGUUACCCGCUGAAUUUAAGCAUAUCAAUAAGCGGAGGA
This 412-nucleotide unclassified non-coding RNA is filed under the name soil metagenome. Its description in RNAcentral is "partial contains 5.8S ribosomal RNA, internal transcribed spacer 2, and large subunit ribosomal RNA". The stretch from base 1 to 122 matches the Rfam family "5.8S ribosomal RNA", at positions 35 to 154 of the family's 154-position model. The record is from RNAcentral.